RNAcentral lists this ribosomal RNA (492 nucleotides) under uncultured bacterium. RNAcentral describes it as "partial 16S ribosomal RNA". It matches the Rfam family "Bacterial small subunit ribosomal RNA", at positions 29 to 507 of the family's 1533-position model. The record is from RNAcentral.
AGUGAACGCUGGCGGUAGGCCUAACACAUGCAAGUCGAACGGCAGCACAGUAAGAGCUUGCUCUUACGGGUGGCGAGUGGCGGACGGGUGAGGAAUACAUCGGAAUCUACUUUUUCGUGGGGGAUAACGUAGGGAAACUUACGCUAAUACCGCAUACGACCUACGGGUGAAAGCAGGGGAUCUUCGGACCUUGCGCGAUUGAAUGAGCCGAUGUCGGAUUAGCUAGUUGGCGGGGUAAAGGCCCACCAAGGCGACGAUCCGUAGCUGGUCUGAGAGGAUGAUCAGCCACGCUGGAACUGAGACACGGUCCAGACUCCUACGGGAGGCAGCAGUGGGGAAUAUUGGACAAUGGGCGCAAGCCUGAUCCAGCCAUACCGCGUGGGUGAAGAAGGCCUUCGUGUUGUAAAGCCCUUUUGUUGGGAAAGAAAAGCAGCAGGUUAAUACCCCGCUGUUCUGACGGUACCCAAAGAAUAAGCACCGGCUAACUUCGUG